Molecule: ribosomal RNA, 373 nt
Filed under: uncultured organism
Description: bacterial SSU rRNA
Rfam family: Bacterial small subunit ribosomal RNA
Source: RNAcentral
CGUAGGGUGCGAGCGUUAAUCGGAAUUACUGGGCGUAAAGCGUGCGACUAGGCGGUUAUAUAAGACAGAUGUGAAAUCCCCGGGCUCAACCUGGGACCUGCAUUUGUGACUGUAUAGCUAGAGUACGGUAGAGGGGGAUGGAAUUCCGCGUGUAGCAGUGAAAUGCGUAGAUAUGCGGAGGAACACCGAUGGCGAAGGCAAUCCCCCUGGACCUGUACUGACGCUCAUGCACGAAAGCGUGGGGAGCAAACAGGAUUAGAUACCCUGGUAGUCCACGCCCUAAACGAUGUCAACUGGUUGUUGGGUCUUCACUGACUCAGUAACGAAGCUAACGCGUGAAGUUGACCGCCUGGGGAGUACGGCCGCAAGGUUG